UACAGAGGUGGCAAGCGUUGUUCGGAAUUACUGGGCGUAAAGGGCGCGUAGGCGGCCUUCUAAGUCAGACGUGAAAUCCCCAGGCUUAACCUGGGAACUGCGUCGGAUACUGGAUGGCUUGAAUUCGGGAGAGGGAUGCAGAAUUCCAGGUGCAGCGGUGAGAUGCGUAGAUAUCUGGAGGAAUACCGGUGGCGAAGGCGGCAUCCUGGACCGACAUUGACGCUGAACGGCGAAAGCUAGGGGAGCAAACGGG
Molecule: ribosomal RNA, 253 nt
Filed under: uncultured bacterium
Lineage: Bacteria
Description: partial 16S ribosomal RNA
Rfam family: Bacterial small subunit ribosomal RNA
Source: RNAcentral